RNAcentral lists this unclassified non-coding RNA (253 nucleotides) under Hevea brasiliensis (rubber tree). Lineage: Eukaryota; Viridiplantae; Streptophyta; Magnoliopsida; Malpighiales; Euphorbiaceae. The record is from RNAcentral.
UAAAAACAAGAUGCGUACCCAGUACCUCUAAACCCAGCGGCUCCUAUACAAAUCUCUCUUCCCUUCCUCUUAAAUACCCACUUCUCUCUUUUCUUUCUUCCUCCAAUCCCACAAUCUCUCAACCUCUCAAUUUCCCAUUUCCUCAAUUUUUUCCUCCCAAAAUGCGGAUGAGUUGUAAUGGAUGUCGAGUUCUGCGCAAGGGCUGCAGUGAGAAUUGCAGUAUUAGACCUUGCUUGCAGUGGAUCAAGAGCCC